UCAAAUUUUUGUUGGGGAUAUACUAUGUGCUAAAUAUUGUUAAGGACCCUUAGAAAGGACUUUAGAUCUGCUGUUACUUAUGUCUGCCUUUAACCGAAUAUGCAGAAUCUUUGUGAUCGACUUGCAGUACCUGCUGAAAUUAUUAACAAAACAAUCAUAAUUGACACUUGUGUGUUAAAUUGUUACGGUGCUUUGGGCCUUCAGCAUAUGCAUCAAUCAUAUUUUAUAUGUUAAUAUAUAAAAUUAACUUAGUUUGUUAUUGAUGACAGUACUUUUUAUUUUGAACAAUGACAAACUAAAACAAUGAGACGUUAAACAUAUCUAAAGGAAUUAUUCUUAAUAGGUAAGGAAAUUACCUAUAUAAAUUUUGCAGCUAGUAUCGUUAGGUUUUGUUUGCUUUACAUCUCAUGAAUAUAAUAAAUUUUAAACGUGUGUGAAAAAAGAAAUAUAAUUGUAUAAAUAAUACAGUAUGAGUAGUGGCCAGUUAUACUUGACAAACAGUGUAUUGUAUCUACAAAGAAAACUGAAAUCGAACAUUUCGUCUGUAUUUUUAUUAUUAUAUAAAUGUCUAAAAUGUUAUCACAAUUAUGUGUUAUAAUUUAUAAAUACAGUAAACGGUUCAAAUUCUCAGUAGAUGUAUGAAAUUUUAGGUGACGAAAGGAUAAGUUUUUUACAUUAUUUGGAAUGGUACCUACAAAUGAAAACAACUGGUAGGGCGAAAUCUGUUCUUAUAUUCAAAGAUACUGAAAUAUUAAUGAAAGUGUUCAUGUGUACAGUUACACAAUAUGCAACAUGUAUUGGUAUGUGAUAAUGUUAUUAGACUUUAACCAAUUUACCAACUAUAACACUAUUAUGAACUUUUAUUCACAUAAUAUCUUUUGCUAUUUGAUACUUAUAAUACGUGAAAUUUAAUAUUUUGAAUUACAUUUUAAAUUUGAAAAAGUUUGAAGCGCACUUGUCUUUAAUUUUCAUAUUAGUAAAUUAAAUAAGAAACAAAAGUACCUGGCAUUACAGUUAAUGAUGAAUAUAAUUGAUUAUUGUACCAAUAAGAGAAAUCUACAAGACUUGAAAAUCCAACAGUAGACAAAAAUGUUGACCUUGACUAAUUUCGUUGACGUUAACAUUCUAUCGCGAAGUUUCUUUAUUAAUGUAAAUAAAUCAUAGCAUUUUACAUGAGUUAUAGCGAACAAAUAUUCAAAGAAUAUAUAAUUACGUGAUUUUAGGUUAUAUAUACCAUUUAAAUCGAAUUAUAUUUGAUAUUUCGAGAUGAUAUUACUAUUAAUAGUAUAUGUUUUUAAAGUAAUUUUAGACAACAACAAAAAUCGACUUUCACUUUGAUUUGGGAUAUUUAGACCUUAAUUUGAUUACAUUAAACUUUCUAGAGGAAUAACAACAAAAACAGGGCUUUCUGCAAAUAUUACUAAAUAUCUGUAAAAAUCUAAUAGUGAUACGAUAAUAAAGAUAAGAAUUUUAUUAAUUCAUAGGUAAAUGUAUAUUUCAAUAAUGAUAAAAUGGUAAUGAUAGUAUAUACAACAUUAGUGAUGCUACUACGGAUAUUCACGAUAUGAUAUGCUUUAUUAAUACUUGUACAAUGACUUAGUGUAUUACACAUAUUAUGUAAAAAAUUAUUUGCAAUAAAUAAAUUUUGCAAUAUACAGCAUUUUAUCAUUACGAUUCUUUCUACCCUUAGAAAUUGUUGUAUAUUCUCGUUUGAAAACAACUUUAAAUGAUAAUAUGGCAACUUCCUUUUCCAUCAUGGCGAUACUUCCUACCAACAGUUCCCGAGUUUGCCGAGAACUUGGCGCGACGUACAAUUUCCCCAACACGGGUUCGAAAUCACCGAUCUGUAUGCGACCGCGUAUCGAUGCCAGUAAAUGCAAUGUCGGGUGGGUAUAAAGGUGAGCGGUGGGGUUAGGCACGGGGGGAAAGAGGCAAAGAAAAGGUAAAGGUUAGAAGAGGUUAUGAACUCUAACCCACGGAUGGUUGACGAAGCUUAGUUGUUGCUAUGAACUGUCCAAAUGACGCGUAGUCAGAUCACUCGUCGUUGUUAAUAAUAAAGAGAGACAUGGAACGGGAUCAGAACAAUCACGUUGAUAACGUACACGAUGAGAAAGUUGACCAUAAAAUGGGUAGAGAUUUUCGUAACUUAGGAUCUCAUGCUGGCAUGGUUCACUUACACUCGGGAAUGGAGCAUUUAAAUAAUGUCGACGUAGAAGUAAAAUUGGCCAGAGAUGUUCGUGGCUCUUUAGGUUUGGGACUAUCGCUAGAAUUGUGUGUAGUCUGUGGAGACAGGGCUAGUGGAAGACACUAUGGAGCAAUAAGUUGCGAGGGUUGCAAAGGUUUCUUUAAACGUAGUAUUCGAAAACAAUUGGGUUAUCAAUGCAGAGGAAGCAAAAGUUGCGAAGUUACCAAACACCAUAGAAAUCGGUGUCAGUAUUGUAGACUUCAGAAAUGCCUUGCAAUGGGGAUGAGGAGUGACUGUAUGUCUGUUUGGAGUAUCAUAUCUGUUCAACACGAGAGAAAACCAGUUUUGGGUGAAUCCGCGGGAGCAAAAGUCGGAAAUCGAAGCCCUAGAGUUAAACCAGAACCACAGCAAUCAGUAUCUGAAACACCUUCGACCUGGGAGCAACCCGAAAGUCCUAGUAUGGAAGAUCAAAGUAGCGAUAGUGACCUCAGCGAUGCGUUAACAUUAGCAAGAGAACGGUUACUUAUUUCACAUGCAUUGGAUAGCAUGGCUAAGCUUAUUGGAGAUAGCGUUAAUGGUUCAAGUGAACCAGAAGAAGAGUGGACUGGUCAGUUAAUUUCUGAAAGGCAUACGCUAUUUGAGUUAAGAGCACCUAGCCCAGCCCCCGCGUACUUAUCGAUACACUAUAUUUGUGAGAGUGCUGCUAGAUUACUUUUUCUGUCAGUUCACUGGGCAAGAGGAAUUCCCGCGUUCCAAGCAUUACCAUCCGAAGUUCAAACAACAUUGGUACGCACUUCUUGGGGACAGCUUUUUACUUUAGGUCUUGCACAAUGUGCAUACACUCUGUCUCUUCCUAGUAUUUUAACAUCAAUAAUAAAUCAUUUACAAGCUAGUAUUGCACAGGAAAAAAUUACAGCUAGUAAAGUAAAAUCCGUAACAGAACAUAUAUGUAGACUACAAGAUUGCGUUAGUUCACUUCAUAAGUUACAAGUGGAUUCUAUUGAAUAUGCGUACCUUAAAGCGUUAACGCUUUUCAGUGCUGACAAUAUUUUAGCCGGGGUUUGGCGUAAAAAAGUUGAAGUUUUACAAGAAGCUGCGUGGACAGAGUUGCAACAACGUGUUGCAUCUGACCGAUUACCUCGCCUUCUUUUGAGGCUUGCACCACUUCGUUCAAUUAACCCUAGGGUUUUGGAAGAUUUGUUUUUUGCAGGUCUUAUCGGUAGAGUAAGCGUAGCUAGUGUUGUGCCUUAUAUUCUUACUAUGCACGAUUACAAAACUGAACCUGAAAGUCAUAUGGGGUGACAAUUACUAUCUGUGCAAUGUAAGUCGUGACCUAUCAAAGUGAUAUAUAUAUAUAUGUAUAUAACGUAUGUAUACAUACGUUAGUGUUGAAUGCCUUGAAUAUUUUUAUACACUGAGAAAGAAAGAAAAAACAGAACGAGGCAAAGUUAAUCUUUAUUUUUCAUAAAAUGGACUACGAUUCUUUACAUGCCUCUUUUUAAAUAAAGGUGUUGAAACUCAGGGUAGUAUUUUAACUUGUUAAUCAGAUAUAAUAUCUAGUUUAUAAUGUUCUGAUUAACAUUCUUUUAUUUAUUAUAUAUUGACUGCCUGAUGUACAAAACUUUCCAUAUUGUUACUAAAACUUACAUUAAUAUCAUUUUCACUGCUAUAAAUUUAUCGUUUCAAUUCGAAUGUAGCAGUAUCAUAUAAAUAUAUAAAUACUUUGUUAUGUACUUCUCAAGGACGUCAAUAUAUCUGGAAAGUUUUGUAUCGGCACACAGUCUAAAAAGAACGUGCGGGGCAAUAUUAUUAUACUUAUAAUUUAUUAUUAGUGGAAGAUUAGCCCUUGACCGAAUUAGUAAUUUGGUACUGUAUUGAUUAAAAUUUUUUAUUUAAAAAGUAUAAUUAUUGAAAAAGUUGAUUGACAUAUUUUUUUUUUCAAAUUGUUCUUUCGAUGUAAUGCAAAUCUAAAAUUAGAAAAAAAAUCAAAUUACACGUACACUGAGCUUUCCCAAGAAAAUUGAUAUAUUAAUAAUAAUAUUUCAUUAUAAUCGAUGCAUUUCCGUCCGUCAAAAGAAGUCAUUACCGUCUUAGUUUUGAUGAGGAUCAAAAUUCAAGCGUGUCUUUAGACGUUAAUAUAAAUGCCACGAUUUUUUUAAAUGGUACUAUUUGAAUAUUUGCAUUAGUACUGCAAGAAAGUAAGAAAAGAAGAUAAUAAUUCUACAUAAGUUUAGUACAAAAGAAUCGCAUAUUUCGUUAUUAUUGAAGACAUUGCUUAAUCUUACUUUGACCAUGCAACUGAAAUAUGCACAUAUUUUACUUAUUUUCCUAGAAACUGAUCAUACUACAUGGUAUAUUUCUAGGCUGUGUUUUAUUGUAGUUUAAGAAUAAAAAAUGCAUUGUGUUUAAUGGUUCUUUCAAAAUCAUAGGACGUGCAAUAGUACUAACUCGUAAAAAUGAAUUAAACGUGGUAAAUAUUCCAUAAUCCUAAUGUAUUGUCAACAUAGGUAAUAGAAUAGUCAAUUUUAUGUUUUAAAUUGAAAAUUGACAUAGUUCAAAUAAUACGGUAUUAAUUAAAUUCGUUAAACUUCAAGUAUUAUUUACUUCUUCAAAAGGGACAAUAAAAAUAUAUUUUUUAUGGAAAGCAGGAAUACUUAUCAGAUUAGAAGAAGUGUAUUAAGAAUUAAUGUAUAUGCGUUUACUUAACCGAAUGUACAUUUUAUAUCUUAUUGUUAACUGUAAUUAGAUAACCUAAUAUUGAAUAUACAGAUAGUAGCAAAAGUAGCAUUAAUGGUUGUAGGUUAAGAUUAUUGAUAAAAAAACAAUAAUCUUGUAUAUUUAAUGUUAUUAAUAAUGUUUAGAUCAUUGAUAUUUUUCCAAAAUAUAUUGAGGUGAGUCGUUAAAUAUUUUUAAACUAUCCAGAUAUGUUAAUGCUCACUGAAAAUGUUUUUGCUGGUUAUGAGAUUUCCAUAAACAUCUUCAUAAUUUAUAAGCGUGUAUUAUAUUUGUAGCAAUGUUUAAUAUCUACUUAAACGUAAGCAUCUUCUUAAAUUCGAUAAUCCAAAGAUUAAACAACAAUACAUUUUUUUACAGAUAUUCGUGUAAAUUAUACUUGAUUGAAAUUUGAUAUAAUUCUUAGACACUACUAAUAGUAUUCAAUAAUUUUAUUUUAAUUAAGAAUAGCUACAAUUUCAUCAUAAAAUGGCACUGUGGUGCAUUGUAUUAAUGAUGAUGAUUUUGCAUAAAAUUUAGUCCUGCACACAAUGAUGUCGACAUUGAUACAUUUGUACCUUCUGGAAGAAACUGUUAUUCAUUGUACGUUAUUAUGUACUACAAUAGUCUAACAACAAAAGAUGUAAUCUAAAUCAAAAUUAUCUCUCUAUGGUUCAUGUAUUUUGCGUAAUGGAAUUUUUAUGUGUGAAAUAUUUGAAGGACAAUACAUUUAAAAAAGAUUUGACCUGUGCAAGAAACAAAUGUGUAAAUAUAAAAUGUGCCUGGAUGAAAAAAAAAAAAUAUUUAUAUUAAAUCUAGUAGUUUUGUAAUUAUGUAAGUUACGAAAUGCAAGAGACCUGAAGAUUGUUGCCCCCUUCAGUUUUAUUAUAUUGAAGAAUUAUAUGUAUAUGUGUAUAUGUACACAUGUCUAAUUGUGGUAUAACGUAAAAUAACACAUAAUUGAAAUAAAAGAAUUAACGAUUAGCUUGUAAGUUUACCUGGAGUUUUUAUUUUUAAAACGCGUUAUCCCCGGAAAAAGAACACGUAUAACUAAAAAUGACUCACUGAGGGGGGACACGGAGGGACCCAAAUAUUCACAGUUUAGACUCGUCCCUGCGUAGUGACUCACAUCCCAAGAUUGCUUGUAGAGGCGCUUUGCCGCCAUAGCCGCUUUAUCCGCUCGUGUUUGUGAAUUGGUUUUUCUUAUGAAAGUCGGAGUCGUUGAGUGAACUUCGGUACGGUUAGUGGUCGGUGGAAUACUAUGGACGCAGAAAACGUCGCGUUUGGUUAAGUUCCAUUAUUAAUCCGUUUUUCUCAGCGAGAAAAUCAGUGUUCUAACCAACGCCACCGAAUAUUUUAAUGCUCCUGUAAAACCGGCUAUUCCACGGACAGGUAGACAGGUAUUCCAAUCUGUUCGACCGUUUGGAAGUUGGGUGACACACCUCCGAAGAACUUCCCAUCUAACUGGUUUUUUUUCUUCACGGAAAAUACGGACAGAAGUAAGGUUACACGACAGAUAUCUGUGGACGUUCAUUUUCGGGCCCAUUUACACGAAUCCGUAGAAUCAGUGCGAUACGUAUCGUGACAGAACGCAAUUUUUAAAAUAUCACCGAGUGUUUUCACAACAGUGUCAAAUAAAAUGUUGUAACAGUGGUGUUUCCUCCCUCUCGUAUUAUGCGUUGCUAUCUCGUGGCGGGAAAUUGGUUUUGAAGAAGUAAACGUCAUUAGUUUUCAGCUGGCCUCCCCCCUCUGUGAUUAUUCUUCGGAUAACGAAUUUUGAGUUGCGAUUAGGAAAAUUCUUAAUUUUAUUCGACGACACACGGGGCACACGGUUUAUCCAUAACGACCGCUACUGGCUGUACUCUUGCAUUACCGAGAAUUCUUUGGAGUUUUGGCUUUUCCCGGAAGGCGAUGCUUUUUAUCUUCUCAUCAACGAUCUGAUUAAAGCUUUCGAAACUUAACAAAAAAAAAAAAA
RNA transcript from Hylaeus volcanicus, 6872 nucleotides. It is a transcript of the gene named MAP kinase-activated protein kinase 2, with no coding region annotated. The record is from RefSeq and is a predicted model, not a curated record. The transcript is spliced from 8 exons. NCBI's taxonomy places the organism in Eukaryota, Metazoa, Arthropoda, Insecta, Hymenoptera, Colletidae.